Molecule: non-coding RNA, 71 nt
Organism: Gymnothorax javanicus (giant moray)
Lineage: Eukaryota; Metazoa; Chordata; Actinopteri; Anguilliformes; Muraenidae
Source: the annotation of a GenBank genome assembly
ACAUUGCUGGUGUAGUGGUAUCAUAUAAGAUUCUCAAUCAUGUGAUCUGGGUUCAAUUCCCAGGUGGCGUA